RNAcentral lists this microRNA (20 nucleotides) under Callorhinchus milii (elephant shark). Its description in RNAcentral is "eshark_NOVEL_234". The record is from RNAcentral. Lineage: Eukaryota; Metazoa; Chordata; Chondrichthyes; Chimaeriformes; Callorhinchidae.
CCUGUUCAGGUGGAUGUUGA